AUAGUCCGGCUAUAUAAAAGCGCUUGUCCUCCUCCACGUAGAUCUUUCCAGUCGCAUGUUGAAGUUGGAGAAGGAUCAUGUCUAGCCACUCUCCUGAUUACAACAGGCUGCAAUGUCAUCGCCCACGCAUGGGCAAGACUGCCAUGUUUGCCAUCUCUAUCCUGCAGAAUUGAACCCAGGCUCUGGUGCUGGCCCCCACCACAGAGCUGGCUCAGCAGGUAUGCUGUGCCUGAGGUCUGGAUAAACGUACAUGUUUAUCAGACCGAGGCGGCAUAUUUGGACAAUCUACAACUCAAAAGAUCCAGAAGGGGCUUCUGGCUCUGGGGGACUACAUGGGGGCGGCCUGCCAUUCCUAAGUUGGGCACUAAUGUCCGCAAAGAAAUGCAGAAGCUGCAGACCGGGUCCCCCCGCAUAGUGGUACGAACUCCAGGCUGGAUGUUUGAUGCUUAACAGGUGACGCCUGUAAGUACUCAUCGUGUGGUCCUCCUGUCGGCCACCAUGCCUACUAAUGUGCUGGAGGUGACCAAGAAGUUCAUGCGAGAGCCCAUUGGCAUUCUGGUGAAAUAAAAGGAAUUUCCCUAGAGGGUAUUAAGCAGUACUACAUCAAUGUAGAGAGGAGUGGAAGUUGGACACAUUGUGCAACCUGUACGGGAUGCCAACAGUCACUCCGGCAGGCAUCUUCCUCAACACCAGGAGGAUCUGCUGGCUGACCGAGAAGAUGCACUCGAGGGGCUUCACGAUCUGCUCUGCAUGGUGACAUGGACCAGAAGGAGAGGGAUGUCAUCACAGGGGAGUUCAGGUCUGGCUCAAGCAGAGUACUCAUCGCUAUGGACUUAUUGGCUCUGAAUUGAUGUGCAGCAGGUUCCUUGGUCACCUUCCUACUAAGAGGGAGAAUAAUAUUCGCAGAAUUUGUCGUGGUGGCUGUUUUGGCAGGAAAGGUGUGGCUGUAAACUGAGCGAGGAGGAGAAGUGUAUUCUUUGGGACAUCAAGACGUUUCACAAUACAACAGUGGAUGAGAUGCCUUUGAAUGUGGCUGACCUGAUUUGAA
This is a long non-coding RNA of Oncorhynchus nerka (sockeye salmon), 1048 nucleotides long. RefSeq lists it as uncharacterized. The record is from RefSeq and is a predicted model, not a curated record. Lineage: Eukaryota; Metazoa; Chordata; Actinopteri; Salmoniformes; Salmonidae. The transcript has 8 exons.